This 561-nucleotide ribosomal RNA is filed under the name uncultured bacterium. RNAcentral's name for it is "bacterial SSU rRNA". It matches the Rfam family "Bacterial small subunit ribosomal RNA", at positions 338 to 916 of the family's 1533-position model. The record is from RNAcentral.
CCUACGGGAGGCAGCAGUGGGGAAUAUUGGACAAUGGGCGCAAGCCUGAUCCAGCAAUGCCGCGUGAGUGAUGAAGGCCUUAGGGUUGUAAAGCUCUUUCGCCCGCGACGAUGAUGACGGUACCCGCAGAAGAAGCCCCGGCUAACUUCGUGCCAGCAGCCGCGGUAAUACGAAGGGGGCGAGCGUUGUUCGGAAUCACUGGGCGUAAAGGGCGCGUAGGCGGCCCUGUUUGUCGCGUGUGAAAGCCCCGGGCUCAACCUGGGAAUGGCGCGCGAGACGGCGGGGCUGGAGUUCGGGAGAGGAGCGUGGAAUUCCCAGUGUAGAGGUGAAAUUCGUAGAUAUUGGGAAGAACACCGGUGGCGAAGGCGGCGCUCUGGACCGAGACUGACGCUGAGGCGCGAAAGCGUGGGGAGCAAACAGGAUUAGAUACCCUGGUAGUCCACGCCGUAAACGAUGUGUGCUAGACGUUGGGGAGCCUAGCUUCUCGGUGUCGCAGCCAACGCGGUAAGCACACCGCCUGGGGAGUACGGCCGCAAGGUUAAAACUCAAAGGAAUUGACGG